Molecule: ribosomal RNA, 435 nt
Filed under: uncultured bacterium
Lineage: Bacteria
Description: partial 16S ribosomal RNA
Rfam family: Bacterial small subunit ribosomal RNA
Source: RNAcentral
UGGGGAAUAUUGCACAAUGGGCGCAAGCCUGAUGCAGCAACGCCGCGCGAGGGACGACGGCCUUCGGGUUGUAAACCUCUUUUAGUAGGGAAGAAGCGAAAGUGACGGUAUCUGCAGAAAAAGCACCGGCUAACUACGUGCCAGCAGCCGCGGUAAUACGUAGGGUGCGAGCGUUGUCCGGAAUUAUUGGGCGUAAAGAGCUCGUAGGCGGUCUGUCGCGUCUGCUGUGAAAACCCGAGGCUCAACCUCGGGCCUGCAGUGGGUACGGGCAGACUAGAGUGCGGUAGGGGAGAAUGGAAUUCCUGGUUAGCGGUGGAAUGCGCAGAUAUCAGGAGGAACACCGAUGGCGAAGGCAGUUCUCUGGGCCGUAACUGACGCUGAGGAGCGAAAGCGUGGGGAGCGAACAGGAUUAGAUACCCUGGUAGUCCACGCCGU